GACGAACGCUGGCGGCAUGCUUUAUACAUGCAAGUCGUGCGGCAGCGCGGGGGCAACUCUGGCGGCGAGCGGCGAACGGGUGAGUAAUACAUAGGAACGUAUCCUGAAAUGGGGGAUAGCUCGGCGAAAGCCGGAUUAAUACCGCAUACGCUCCACGGAGGAAAGCAGGGGGAUCGCAAGACCUUUGCGUUUCUGGAGCGGCCUAUGUCUGAUUAGCUAGNGGCGGGGUAAUAGCCCACCAAGGCGACGAUCAGUAGCUGGUCUGAGAGGAUGAUCAGCCACACUGGGACUGAGACACGGCCCAGACUCUACGGGAGCAGCAGUGGGAAUCUUGCGCAAUGGGACGAAAGCCUGACGCAGCGACGCCG
Molecule: ribosomal RNA, 368 nt
Filed under: uncultured bacterium
Lineage: Bacteria
Description: bacterial SSU rRNA
Rfam family: Bacterial small subunit ribosomal RNA
Source: RNAcentral